AUUGAACGCUGGCGGCAGGCCUAACACAUGCAAGUCGAGCGGAUGAAGGGAGCUUGCUCCUGGAUUCAGCGGCGGACGGGUGAGUAAUGCCUAGGAAUCUGCCUGGUAGUGGGGGAUAACGUCCGGAAACGGGCGCUAAUACCGCAUACGUCCUGAGGGAGAAAGUGGGGGAUCUUCGGACCUCACGCUAUCAGAUGAGCCUAGGUCGGAUUAGCUAGUUGGUGGGGUAAAGGCCUACCAAGGCGACGAUCCGUAACUGGUCUGAGAGGAUGAUCAGUCACACUGGAACUGAGACACGGUCCAGACUCCUACGGGAGGCAGCAGUGGGGAAUAUUGGACAAAGGGCGAAAGCCUGAUCCAGCCAUGCCGCGUGGGUGAAGAAGGUCUUCGGAUUGUAAAGCACUUUAAGUUGGGAGGAAGGGCAGUAAGUUAAUACCUUGCUGUUUUGACGUUACCAACAGAAUAAGCACCGGCUAACUUCGUG
RNAcentral lists this ribosomal RNA (484 nucleotides) under uncultured bacterium. RNAcentral describes it as "partial 16S ribosomal RNA". It matches the Rfam family "Bacterial small subunit ribosomal RNA", at positions 30 to 507 of the family's 1533-position model. The record is from RNAcentral.